This 255-nucleotide unclassified non-coding RNA is filed under the name uncultured fungus. Its description in RNAcentral is "partial contains 5.8S ribosomal RNA, internal transcribed spacer 2, and large subunit ribosomal RNA". The stretch from base 1 to 52 matches the Rfam family "5.8S ribosomal RNA", at positions 103 to 154 of the family's 154-position model. The record is from RNAcentral. Lineage: Eukaryota; Fungi. RNAcentral also lists the same sequence under 1 other name.
AACGCACAUUGCGCCUCUUGGUAUUCCGAGGGGCAUGUCUGUUUGAGCGUCAGUACCCACUCGCGAUCAACCGUUUUGAGCAAUCAAGCGGUCGACCGCGGUCUUGAGGAGCACUUCUCCUCUAACGUGGCACGCUUGCGAACCCCCUACCGAUCUCGACGUAGUAAACAUUCUCGUCGCUGCUAAGUUGAGGGCCGCCUGAAUCAAACUCUGUAGUUUGACCUCAGAUCAGACAAGGAUACCCGCUGAACUUAA